GCUGAGCCUUGGAGUUCCUGGGUUUGCCGGUUUCCCCGUCUGGCAGUGCUGGGGGCUUUGAGCCAGCAACCUCAAAGAACGCCCACGCCAGGGAGGCCAGUGUGCACGCAGGUAUUGAUGUUGGCUUUCCACGGGUGCAGUGAGCUGCGUGAUUGAUACCCAUUUCCCCAUAAAACAGCCAAGCCAGGGAGGCCAGCAUGCACACAGGUACCAGCACAUCCGGGCACUUUUUCCAUGGUCCG
This 242-nucleotide long non-coding RNA is filed under the name Homo sapiens (human). Its description in RNAcentral is "HSALNT0156702". Lineage: Eukaryota; Metazoa; Chordata; Mammalia; Primates; Hominidae. The record is from RNAcentral.